This 397-nucleotide ribosomal RNA is filed under the name uncultured bacterium. RNAcentral describes it as "partial 16S ribosomal RNA". It matches the Rfam family "Bacterial small subunit ribosomal RNA", at positions 523 to 918 of the family's 1533-position model. The record is from RNAcentral.
AUACGUAGGGGGCGAGCGUUGUCCGGAAUGAUUGGGCGUAAAGGGCGCGUAGGCGGCCCGGUAAGUCUGGAGUGAAAGUCCUGUUUUUAAGAUGGGAAUUGCUUUGGAUACUGUCGGGCUUGAGUGCAGGAGAGGAAAGUGGAAUUCCCAGUGUAGCGGUGAAAUGCGUAGAGAUUGGGAGGAACACCAGUGGCGAAGGCGACUUACUGGACUGUAACUGACGCUGAGGCGCGAAAGUGUGGGGAGCAAACAGGAUUAGAUACCCUGGUAGUCCACACUGUAAACGAUGAAUGCUAGGUGUAGGGGGUAUCGACCCCUUCUGUGCCGCAGUCAACACAAUAAGCAUUCCGCCUGGGGAGUACGGCCGCAAGGUUGAAACUCAAAUGAAUUGACGGGG